GGAGAGUUGGCAGAGUGGUAAUGCAACGGACUCGAAAUCCGUCGAACCGGUUCAUACCGGCGCGCAGGUUCAAAUCCUGUACUCUCCU
The sequence is a transfer RNA, 88 nucleotides long. It matches the Rfam family "tRNA". Rfam says of the family: Transfer RNA (tRNA) molecules are approximately 80 nucleotides in length. Their secondary structure includes four short double-helical elements and three loops (D, anti-codon, and T loops). Further hydrogen bonds mediate the characteristic L-shaped molecular structure. tRNAs have two regions of fundamental functional importance: the anti-codon, which is responsible for specific mRNA codon recognition, and the 3' end, to which the tRNAs corresponding amino acid is attached (by aminoacyl-tRNA synthetases). tRNAs cope with the degeneracy of the genetic code in two manners: having more than one tRNA (with a specific anti-codon) for a particular amino acid; and 'wobble' base-pairing, i.e. permitting non-standard base-pairing at the 3rd anti-codon position. The record is from Rfam.